This 251-nucleotide ribosomal RNA is filed under the name uncultured prokaryote. RNAcentral's name for it is "partial 16S rRNA". It matches the Rfam family "Bacterial small subunit ribosomal RNA", at positions 525 to 775 of the family's 1533-position model. The record is from RNAcentral.
ACGGAGGGAGCUAGCGUUGUUCGGAAUUACUGGGCGUAAAGCGCGCGUAGGCGGCUAUUCAAGUCAGAGGUGUACGCCCGAGGCUCAAACCCGGAACUGCCUUUGAAACUAGAUAGCUAGAAUCUUGGAGAGGUCAGUGGAAUUCCGAGUGUAGAGGUGAAAUUCGUAGAGAUUCGGAAGAACACCAGUGGCGAAGGCGACUGACUGGACAAGUAUUGACGCUGAGGUGCGAAAGCGUGGGGAGCAAACAG